CCCACAACUCAUCCCACCUCUCUCUCUCUCUCUCUCUAGGUUCAACCAUGGAAACUACUCCUAUUCUAGAUAACCUCUGAUCACCAGCACCAUCGUACACCACUGCAAAACACCAUCAUCGCCAACAACAGCCACAAGUCCUUCCUCCCUCGACGUUGCCACCUCAAUGGCUACGGCCAUUCGAUUUCUCUACCUUUUAAUGAUUUCAUGUUUGAUUCCUCAAUUAAGUUUUUUCUUUUUUGUUUUUUUUACCCGAUAUCUCUACUUCUUAAUAAUUUCCUGUUUGAUUCCUACUCACUGUAAUUUUUUGGGUGUUUUUGUAGUAAUCAAAGGAGGUUUGAUUCACUUCUAAGUUACCCCACUGUAAGUUUUGAUUUGAUAAGUUCAACAUUUUCUUAUGGUGAUUGCGUUGUUCUAUUUUGAGUUGUGUUGGUUUCAUUAGAGAUUAUGGUAACUGAUAAAGUAAUUUUGGUUUGAUUCUUUAAAUGAAAUUUCUCAUUGUUGUAGGUUUUCUUACGCAUCUCUCUCUCUCUCUUGCAAAUUAGAUGUUUGAAUGGGUAUCUAUAAUUUCGUUCAUGUUUCAAUUUCAAGAGGUACUUGAGAACUUGAAUGGUCGGUGAUAAAUUUUGAAUGGUUUCUAUAUGUAAUUGCUGAAGAAAGUUUAGAAACGAUUGGUGUUUCAUCAUUCAUGUUCUUUGGUUUCUAGAGUUACUAUGAUUGGGAUAAAUUUUUUUGUUGCAAAUCGGGUACCAUGUGGUAUCCGUGCAGCACAUUUGAGCGGUCCAAACAAUGCAACCGACGGCUCAGAUUGAAACACUCUUUUCCUUUUCUCUAAAUCCGUUCAGUACCUUACAAUUCGAUCCGUUGGUUGCAUGUUUGGACAGCUCGGAUGUGCUGCACGGGUAACUCCUAUUAGGUGUUUGUUGAAAAUUCAAUGUAACGGAUGUCCAGGCAAAUAUAGAGUUUUGCUACCUCUUAGCUUAUUUAAAGUCAUUGAUUUAAAAAUUCCAAGUUAGUGGAUCCCUUGAAACUGAAACUGUAGAAACCAAUGAUUAAUUUUUUUUUUUAAAAACCUUUAUUAUUUUAUUGUGUGACUGUGCUAUCUUAAUGCGUAUACUGAAAAUGUGAAUAAUGUUAUAUGGGGGCCAUUGUGUGAUAGGAUGGAAGUUCUAGGACUUGAUGAAAUUCAAGAGAGACCCAACCCAAUAACAUCAUAUUCAAGAGAGACCCAACCCAAUAACAUCAUAUUCUAGCAAUGAAGAACUUGGGAAGUCGUGUAAUCAAGCUCAGAGGGAGUUUUCUCGGUGGCUUUCAACCAAAACAACUUAGGGCUUGGCUUGGAUCUUAGGGUUUUGUUCAAAACUCUUGAGGUAUCAAUCAAGUUGUAUAGUGUAGAGUGUCGGGGUGCAUUGUCGGAUGUCAUUGAAGCUUUAUGUUAAAAGAGUAUGUUUACAAUCUUGUCUAAUUAUGUUUUGAAAUGAAAUUGUAACUUAAAAUGUCAUAUCUUUUGUUUUAGACAAAUGUAGCGCUACUUAAUAUUUUUUUCCCUCUCCUGACUAUCAUGUAAUUUAUGAAAUGUAAACAUGUGGAUAUCUGUCUGUAAGGAGGUUUGUCUAUGAGGUGAUGUUGGCGUGAUGUACAUGAGUAUGAUAGCACGGAUAAGGCGAUGUUUUUUUUAUAUAUGGAAAAGUUAUUAUUUUUAUGUUUAAAAAUCGAGGGUGUGACAGAAACAUUGCUUAUAAGUUAUGAAAUUGGUGCUUAUGUGAACUGAUUUGUUGCUGAAUAGAUAUUAGACAUUCUAAGUUCGGAGUUCGGUGUUUGAGGAUUUGUGAUUGAAUGACCACUAUGCUUUUUCUCUCACUCAAGUUCAAGUAUCCCUACUUAGAGUAUCUGUACUGAGGUUUGUUAAAGUGUAAUGGGCAUGUGGAAUUGUGCCUAGGGAGGUCUGCCUUUCCAUUGGCGUAAUGUUGAUUGAACUUUUUUAUUGAAAGCAAAAGGAUUAUGAAUUAGUUGGGAUAUAAGUCAAAUCUCGAUAUUGGGAAGAACAAAGUUAAGUUACACAAGAAUUAACAUACUGCACAUGCCCUAUAAAGAGUUCAGCUAUUACUACACAACACGUGCUUCUUUGCUAAUAACUAACGAGUCUUGGUCUAACGAGUUCUGCGAACAAAAAUAAUCGUAGUAUCCAGAAAUCCAGAACUUUAGGCAUUUUGUGGUAAUUAUUGGGUCAGUUGGCUUUGAUUGAAAGGAGUCCACGAUAAGAUCGUAGUAUUGGUGAAUUGGCUUUGAUCGAAAGGAAUUUAUGAUAAAAUUGUAGUGCAGAUUUUUGAAUGAAAUCAAUUGGCUAGAUUGUGUAUUGAACAAUUGGGCCGUUUGGUCGAUUGCAUUGUUGAAUUGGCUCUGUUUAAACGAAUUUAUAGUACAAUCAUUGUAUUGGUUCCCAUGAUAUAAAUCAUGGCAAGUGAUAGCUUAUAGUGGAAAAUUUCUUCACAUUAGCCUAAUUUACAGUACAUGGAUGUGUGUCCUUCCGAUAUGUUUUCCGCCGUUACUUUAAUUGCGUGCUAAGUGUUCAAUAAAAUGUGAUUUUUUCUGCCAUCACUUCAAUUGCCUGCUAAGUGUUCGAUAAAAUGUGCUAGCUAUAAUAGCCUUGUGCUUUCAUUCAUGUUUUCUCAGAAUCGGCCCCUCACUUUAAGCCUAUUUCCACCAACAUCCUACAAACUCGAGGUACGCAAAAACUAUGUCCUUACUCCUUAAAAUAAGUUUUUCUCCGUUUGUGAAGAUGUACUUCAAUUGCCUGCUAAGUGUUCAAUAAAAUGUGCCAACUACAAUAGUCUUAUACUUUAAUUCAUGUGUUGAGCUGUGGUGGUAUAUGUAUUGUUCUUCAAUCUUUGUCAACUACAUAAUACCUAAACAGACUAAAGCAUUAUUACGAGAUACUAAAAACCACUUACGUGGGGGAAGAAGAAAACACGGCACACA
Long non-coding RNA from Rhododendron vialii, 2979 nucleotides. RefSeq lists it as uncharacterized. NCBI's taxonomy places the organism in Eukaryota, Viridiplantae, Streptophyta, Magnoliopsida, Ericales, Ericaceae. The transcript is spliced from 3 exons. The record is from RefSeq and is a predicted model, not a curated record.